RNAcentral lists this ribosomal RNA (391 nucleotides) under uncultured archaeon. Its description in RNAcentral is "bacterial SSU rRNA". It matches the Rfam family "Archaeal small subunit ribosomal RNA", at positions 613 to 997 of the family's 1478-position model. The record is from RNAcentral.
AGGUACGUACAGGGGUAGGAGGUGAAAUACUUCGUAAUCCCUCGUGGGACCGACCUGUGGCGAAGGCGUCUUACCAGAACGGUUCGACGGUGAGGGACGAAGCUGGGGGCGACGAACCGGAUUAGAUACCCGGGUAGUCCCAGCCGUAAACGAUGCUCGCUAGGUGUCAGGCAUGGCGCGACCGUGUCUGGUGCCGCAGGGAAGCCGUGAAGCGAGCCACCUGGGAAGUACGGCCGCAAGGCUGAAACUUAAAGGAAUUGGCGGGGGAGCACAACAACGGGUGGAGCCCUGCGGUUUAAUUGGACUCAACGCCGGACAACUCACCGGGGGCGACAGCAAUAUGUAGGCCAAGCUGAAGACUUUGCCUGAAUCGCUGAGUAGUGGUGCAUGG